RNAcentral lists this ribosomal RNA (253 nucleotides) under uncultured bacterium. RNAcentral describes it as "partial 16S ribosomal RNA". It matches the Rfam family "Bacterial small subunit ribosomal RNA", at positions 524 to 776 of the family's 1533-position model. The record is from RNAcentral.
UACGGGGGGGGCAAGCGUUGUUCGGAAUUACUGGGCGUAAAGAGCGUGUAGGCGGCCAGAUAGGUCUGCUGUGAAAACUCGAGGCUCAACCUCGAGAUGUCGGCGGAAACCAUUUGGCUAGAGUCCGGAAGAGGAAAGUGGAAUUCCUGGUGUAGCGGUGAAAUGCGCAGAUAUCAGGAAGAACACCCGUGGCGAAGGCGGCUUUCUGGGACGGUACUGACGCUGAGGCGCGAAAGCGUGGGGAGCAAACAGG